Molecule: long non-coding RNA, 1537 nt
Filed under: Callithrix jacchus (white-tufted-ear marmoset)
Lineage: Eukaryota; Metazoa; Chordata; Mammalia; Primates; Cebidae
Description: lncRNA (ENSCJAG00000084537.1)
Source: RNAcentral
CUUUCAUUUACUUUACUUAUUUAGUUCCUAUCUAUUGUGGAAUGCCUUGACAGAAGCAUCCUUUUUUAAAUACCAAAAGAAAACAAUGAUGAAGAAGGAUAUAUGCCUAUGCCCGCUGAAAGACACUCGGAUUCUGUGGCAAAGUGGAUUCCAGACACCAAAGUCCUGUACUGGCAGUUGGAAUUGGAGCCGAUGUGUACUGAAGAGGAAAAGGAAAAAGAGAUGUCUGGAGCAAGAACAGCAUCUGCCAAAGGAUGGAUUGAAGAAGAAAAAAAUUGUAAGCUGAAAUUCAGGGGAUGAAUUUUUCCAGAAACAAACACGAGAAAAUCUCAACAAAGGUGAAACUAUGGCAUUGAAUCCUUAGGAUUCAGAAGGGUUGGGAGGGAGGGAUAUGGACUAAAAGUAAUCCAGUAGUUUACACCUAAGUUUGUUAUUUACAACUUUGCAUGAAGACUUUCAAAUUAAUAGUGCAGAUGAAGUUCAUAUAUUAUAUAGUUUUAAAAAUUCUGUUUUGUCAAUUAUGGUUGGUUUAUUUAUUAUCAGUUGGUGUCCUCAUCAUUACUAUAGGUCAUCAAAUUUCAGUUCGCUUCUACUUUUAGGCACAUAGCUGCUCUUACAGUGCAUACCUGUGUCUGAGUACUGUUUUCAUCCACCUGUCAGCCAGGGUCUGCAGGACAGACCUGGCACUACUGUUUAUUACUUUUGUUUCACUAAGACAAACUUCAAAAAAUAGCUAAUAACCUCAUUAUGUCCAAAUUUAUUGGUCUUUAUAAAAAUACUUAAAAAAAAAAAGAUUUUAUUGGCCUGGCAUGGUGGCCCAUGCCUGUAAUCCCAGCACUUUGGGAGGCCGAGGCAGGCAGAUCACAAGGUCAAGAAUCGAGACCAUCCUGGCCAACAUGGUGAAACCCCUUCUGUACCAAAAAUCAGCUGGUCAUAGUGGCACUUGCCUAUAGUCCCAGCUACUCGGGAGGCUGAGGCAGGAGAAUCGAUUGAACCUGGGAGGAGGAGGCUGCAGUGAGCCAAGAUUGCACCACUUCACUCCAGCCUGGGUGAGAGAGCAAGACUCCAUCUCCAAAUAAUAAUAAUAAUAAUAAUAAUAUAUAUAUAUAUAUAUCCUAUUUGACAUUAAAAAAAUUUUAUCUAUGAUUCCUUCUAGUUUUUUUCUCUAUUUGUUUAUGUAAUGAUAUAGCCUCUCUUUUCUUGAACAUUCUCUGUAUUUCAAUUUCUUCCUUGUUUGUACUAAUUUACCUCUUGUACAUUAAAAACCAUUACAUUUAUUUUUUUCUCAAAUUUACUAUUGUGUUUUUCAAUUUCCAGCCUCUGAGAGAUCCAAUCAAUACUCAUAUACUAUACUCUAAAUUCUAAAUUUUCUUUCUUGUAACUUUGUCAUUGACCUGUCUUUAGUGCCAUAUUUUUAUUUUACUGGUUUACAAAUGGAUUAUUUCUAGUUUACUUUGCAAAAUGACCCAAAUUCAGCAGGUGUAAAACAUAUAUUUUUUACAGACUUUUUCUUAUCUCCUCGUGAUUGUGAAUGUCA